Long non-coding RNA from Polistes canadensis, 422 nucleotides. RefSeq lists it as uncharacterized. The transcript has 3 exons. Lineage: Eukaryota; Metazoa; Arthropoda; Insecta; Hymenoptera; Vespidae. The record is from RefSeq and is a predicted model, not a curated record.
CAGGUGUGACGAAGACGGACAAGAGGUCUCCUAGUCGUUCGAACGCACCCUCUAAUGCAAAGUCGAACCUCGAAGAUCCCAUCGUAAUUCAUCGGUCGUACGCGCGAUUACAAAAAUUCUACAGUGAAAAUUCGUAGAGACAAUAAUAAAGAAAGAAAGGAGGAUAAUCAAUCACGAAUUGGGGAAGAACGUUGAUUUUCUAUCAUCGUAAUCAUAGCUGGAAGAUAUUUUGCACAGUGAUUUAUAGGGGGGGGGGAGAGGGAGGAAAGAAAUAAAAAAAAGACAUGUAAGAAAAUGAUGAAAAGAAGGACAUUGAUCUAAUCGUCGUCAUUGUUAUCACUAUUGGUUAACGUUGAUUUGAAACGAUGAUGGUGACAGAGGGAAGCCGAUAGAACAGAAAGAACUCUUUCGCGCGAAGACGU